UUGGAAUCGGCUUGCAUUUUAUUCAGUUGUGUGUGUUAUAAUCAUUCUGUCCAAAGGACACUAUCGCUUUGCAAGUGGUGCAAGGUAGUUUUAAGGAGGAACAUUUAAGUAUGACAGGAACAGUAAAGUGGUUCAACGGAACAAAAGGUUAUGGAUUCAUUACUAAGGAUGACGGUGGGGACGUUUUCGUUCACUUCUCAGCUAUUGAGAUGGACGGUUUCAAGACCCUUGACGAAGGACAGAGAGUCGAAUUCGAAGUCGAAGACGGUCCAAAGGGUCCUCAGGCAGCAAAAGUUAGAAUUGCGAAGUAAUCGAUUGUCCAUAUAAGGAACCCGAUCGCCCGCUUUCAGCGGGCGAUUUUUU
This 363-nucleotide small RNA is filed under the name Mesotoga prima MesG1.Ag.4.2. Its description in RNAcentral is "Thermotogales bacterium MesG1.Ag.4.2 cspA thermoregulator". It matches the Rfam family "cspA thermoregulator", at positions 78 to 428 of the family's 428-position model. The record is from Rfam by way of RNAcentral. Lineage: Bacteria; Thermotogati; Thermotogota; Thermotogae; Kosmotogales; Kosmotogaceae.